This 522-nucleotide ribosomal RNA is filed under the name Arthrobacter sp. MU2A-13. RNAcentral describes it as "bacterial SSU rRNA". It matches the Rfam family "Bacterial small subunit ribosomal RNA", at positions 862 to 1383 of the family's 1533-position model. Lineage: Bacteria; Bacillati; Actinomycetota; Actinomycetes; Micrococcales; Micrococcaceae. The record is from RNAcentral.
AAGUGCCCCGCCUGGGGAGUACGGCCGCAAGGCUAAAACUCAAAGGAAUUGACGGGGGCCCGCACAAGCGGCGGAGCAUGCGGAUUAAUUCGAUGCAACGCGAAGAACCUUACCAAGGCUUGACAUGGACUGGAAAUACCUGGAAACAGGUGCCCCGCUUGCGGUCGGUUCACAGGUGGUGCAUGGUUGUCGUCAGCUCGUGUCGUGAGAUGUUGGGUUAAGUCCCGCAACGAGCGCAACCCUCGUUCUAUGUUGCCAGCGCGUUAUGGCGGGGACUCAUAGGAGACUGCCGGGGUCAACUCGGAGGAAGGUGGGGACGACGUCAAAUCAUCAUGCCCCUUAUGUCUUGGGCUUCACGCAUGCUACAAUGGCCGGUACAAAGGGUUGCGAUACUGUGAGGUGGAGCUAAUCCCAAAAAGCCGGUCUCAGUUCGGAUUGGGGUCUGCAACUCGACCCCAUGAAGUCGGAGUCGCUAGUAAUCGCAGAUCAGCAACGCUGCGGUGAAUACGUUCCCGGGCCUUG